RNAcentral lists this ribosomal RNA (743 nucleotides) under uncultured bacterium. RNAcentral's name for it is "bacterial SSU rRNA". It matches the Rfam family "Bacterial small subunit ribosomal RNA", at positions 94 to 823 of the family's 1533-position model. The record is from RNAcentral.
AGCGGCGGAUGGGUGAGUAACACGUGGGGAACCUGCCCCUAAGUCUGGGAUACCAUUUGGAAACAGGUGCUAAUACCGGAUAAUAAAGCAGAUCGCAUGAUCAGCUUUUGAAAGGCGGCGUAAGCUGUCGCUAAGGGAUGGCCCCGCGGUGCAUUAGCUAGUUGGUAAGGUAACGGCUUACCAAGGCGACGAUGCAUAGCCGAGUUGAGAGACUGAUCGGCCACAUUGGGACUGAGACACGGCCCAAACUCCUACGGGAGGCAGCAGUAGGGAAUCUUCCACAAUGGACGCAAGUCUGAUGGAGCAACGCCGCGUGAGUGAAGAAGGUUUUCGGGUCGUAAAGCUCUGUUGUUGGUGAAGAAGGAUAGAGGUAGUAACUGGCCUUUAUUUGACGGUAAUCAACCAGAAAGUCACGGCUAACUACGUGCCAGCAGCCGCGGUAAUACGUAGGUGGCAAGCGUUGUCCGGAUUUAUUGGGCGUAAAGCGAGCGCAGGCGGAAAAAUAAGUCUAAUGUGAAAGCCCUCGGCUUAACCGAGGAACUGCAUCGGAAACUGUUUUUCUUGAGUGCAGAAGAGGAGAGUGGAACUCCAUGUGUAGCGGUGGAAUGCGUAGAUAUAUGGAAGAACACCAGUGGCGAAGGCGGCUCUCUGGUCUGCAACUGACGCUGAGGCUCGAAAGCAUGGGUAGCGAACAGGAUUAGAUACCCUGGUAGUCCAUGCCGUAAACGAUGAGUGCUAAGUGU